UACGUAGGGUGCGAGCGUUAAUCGGAAUUACUGGGCGUAAAGCGUGCGCAGGCGGUCUCGCAAGUCCGAUGUGAAAUCCCCGGGCUUAACCUGGGAACUGCAUUGGUGACUGCACGGCUAGAGUGUGUCAGAGGGGGGUAGAAUUCCACGUGUAGCAGUGAAAUGCGUAGAGAUGUGGAGGAAUACCGAUGGCGAAGGCAGCCCCCUGGGAUAACACUGACGCUCAUGCACGAAAGCGUGGGGAGCAAACAGG
RNAcentral lists this ribosomal RNA (253 nucleotides) under uncultured bacterium. RNAcentral's name for it is "partial 16S ribosomal RNA". It matches the Rfam family "Bacterial small subunit ribosomal RNA", at positions 524 to 776 of the family's 1533-position model. The record is from RNAcentral.